RNAcentral lists this ribosomal RNA (861 nucleotides) under uncultured bacterium. RNAcentral describes it as "bacterial SSU rRNA". It matches the Rfam family "Bacterial small subunit ribosomal RNA", at positions 9 to 915 of the family's 1533-position model. The record is from RNAcentral.
GAGUUUGAUCCUGGCUCAGGAUGAACGCUGGCGGUAUGCCUAACACAUGCAAGUCGAACGGUGUCUUCGGACACAGUGGCGGACGGGUGAGUAACGCGUGAGAAUCUGCCUCUAGGUUGGGGACAACAGUUGGAAACGACUGCUAAUACCCGAUGUGCCGUAAGGUAAAAGAUUUAUUGCCUGGAGAGGAGCUCGCGUCUGAUUAGCUAGUUGGUGGGGUAAAAGCCUACCAAGGCAGCGAUCAGUAGCUGGUCUGAGAGGAUGAGCAGCCACACUGGGACUGAGACACGGCCCAGACUCCUACGGGAGGCAGCAGUGGGGAAUUUUCCGCAAUGGGCGAAAGCCUGACGGAGCAAUACCGCGUGAGGGAGGAAGGCCUUUGGGUUGUAAACCUCUUUUCUCAGGGAAGAAGAUCUGACGGUACCUGAGGAAUAAGCAUCGGCUAACUCCGUGCCAGCAGCCGCGGUAAUACGGAGGAUGCAAGCGUUAUCCGGAAUCAUUGGGCGUAAAGCGUCCGCAGGUGGUUUCUCAAGUCUGCUGUUAAAGACUGGAGCUCAACUCCGGAAAGGCAGUGGAAACUGAGAAACUAGAGUUCGGUAGGGGUAGCGGGAAUUCCCAGUGUAGCGGUGAAAUGCGUAGAUAUUGGGGAGAACAUCGGUGGCGAAGGCGCGCUACUGGACCGAAACUGACACUCAGGGACGAAAGCUAGGGGAGCGAAAGGGAUUAGAUACCCCUGUAGUCCUAGCUGUAAACGAUGGAAACUAGGUGUGGCUUGUAUCGACCCGAGCCGUGCCGUAGCUAACGCGUUAAGUUUCCCGCCUGGGGAGUACGCACGCAAGUGUGAAACUCAAAGGAAUGACG